Molecule: ribosomal RNA, 371 nt
Filed under: uncultured bacterium
Lineage: Bacteria
Description: bacterial SSU rRNA
Rfam family: Bacterial small subunit ribosomal RNA
Source: RNAcentral
AGGGGGGGCAAGCGUUGUUCGGAAUUACUGGGCGUAAAGGGUUCGUAGGUGGCCAACUAAGUCAGACGUGAAAUCCCUCAGCUUAACUGGGGAACUGCGUCUGAAACUGGAUGGCUUGAGUGCAGGAGAGGAACGCGGAAUUCCAGGUGUAGCGGUGAAAUGCGUAGAUAUCUGGAGGAACACCGGUGGCGAAGGCGGCGUUCUGGGCUGUAACUGACACUGAGGAACGAAAGCCAGGGGAGCAAACGGGAUUAGAUACCCCGGUAGUCCUGGCCCUAAACGAUGAAUGCUUGGUGUAACGGGUAUCGAUCCCUGUUGUGCCGAAGCUAACGCAUUAAGCAUUCCGCCUGGGGAGUACGGUCGCAAGGCUG